GCAAGUCGAACGAGAACGGGACUUCGGUCCUUAUUAGAGUGGCGCACGGGUGAGUAACACGUGGGAAUCUACCCUUCAGUACGGAAUAGCCUCGGGAAACUGGGAUUAAUACCGUAUAAUGUCUCCGGACCAAAGAUUCAUCGCUGAAGGAUGAGCCCGCGCUAGAUUAGGUAGUUGGUGGGGUAAUGGCCUACCAAGCCGACGAUCUAUAGCUGGUCUGAGAGGAUGAUC
RNAcentral lists this ribosomal RNA (231 nucleotides) under uncultured bacterium. Its description in RNAcentral is "partial 16S ribosomal RNA". It matches the Rfam family "Bacterial small subunit ribosomal RNA", at positions 57 to 305 of the family's 1533-position model. The record is from RNAcentral.